RNAcentral lists this long non-coding RNA (205 nucleotides) under Elaeis guineensis (African oil palm). RNAcentral's name for it is "long non-coding RNA (EGUI_LNC079264)". Lineage: Eukaryota; Viridiplantae; Streptophyta; Magnoliopsida; Arecales; Arecaceae. The record is from RNAcentral.
UCUCUGUCAGAUAGUAAUAUCUUCUCAUCAUCUUCUUUUUCUCUGAAAUAAUCUUAUCGCCAUGCAACACCUUCAAAAUUUUUCUACCAGCUACCGUCCUAUAGCCUCUCGAAUCCAGUCUGCUCAGAGAAAUAAGAUUCCAUCUGAAAUUGGAUGUAUCGAAUCUCUCCCAAUCUCCUCACUACACCAUAUGUGUCCUCCAGCU